AUCAAAAAGGGAAAUAGCCUCGGACACAGUCCCUUUAAGAGCCAUUCUUAGAGCCAAGAGAUGGAAAUGUCUUUGUCACUGACUAAUGAAUAGUACGUUAACCCUUUAAGGAACAAUGCAUAGACAAAUCCCUUAAGGACACAUGACAUGUGUGACAUGUCAUGAUUCCCUUUUAUUCUAGAAGUUUGGUCCUUAAGGAGUUAAAUCCAUAAUGUGCCUGGUAUUUCAUUACAUUCUGGGGUUUAGAUGAUAAUAAUGUAGGUUUAUGUAGUGUGCAAAAAAGAAAGAAUGAGAACUCUGAGAACGGACAAUACCUUACAGUAAACUCAAUAGCCUGCCCUUCCGUACAUCCCCACUCAGGUCUCAAAUUUGUUUUUGCUCACUUCUGCCAUUACCGAGAGAACAAAUCUGAAGCAUAUCCGACUGGUCCCACCCGUACGGCAGUCCAGAUCUGGAAUGCCAGCA
This is a non-coding RNA of Pelobates cultripes (western spadefoot toad), 465 nucleotides long. NCBI's taxonomy places the organism in Eukaryota, Metazoa, Chordata, Amphibia, Anura, Pelobatidae. The record is from the annotation of a GenBank genome assembly.